GAUGAACGCUAGCGGGAGGCUUAACACAUGCAAGUCGAGGGGCAGCACUAUGUAGCAAUACGUUGGUGGCGACCGGCGCACGGGUGAGUAACACGUAUGCAACCUACCCUGUACAGGGGGAUAACCCGGAGAAAUUCGGACUAAUAUCCCAUGAUGAUAUUAGAAGGCAUCUUUAAAUAUUUAAAGCUCAGGCGGUACGGGCUGGGCAUGCGGAACAUUAGCUAGUUGGCAGGGUAACGGCCUACCAAGGCUACGAUGUUUAGGGGACCUGAGAGGGUGAUCCCCCACACUGGUACUGAGACACGGACCAGACUCCUACGGGAGGCAG
This 328-nucleotide ribosomal RNA is filed under the name uncultured Bacteroidota bacterium. Its description in RNAcentral is "bacterial SSU rRNA". It matches the Rfam family "Bacterial small subunit ribosomal RNA", at positions 28 to 351 of the family's 1533-position model. The record is from RNAcentral. Lineage: Bacteria; Pseudomonadati; Bacteroidota.